Molecule: long non-coding RNA, 554 nt
Organism: Mustela lutreola (European mink)
Lineage: Eukaryota; Metazoa; Chordata; Mammalia; Carnivora; Mustelidae
Exons: 3
Source: RefSeq, a predicted model, not a curated record
CAGUAUCCAGUCCACACAACCAGUCCUGAGGACGGUCUGCAUCUGCACAGGCUGUUGGAACUAAAACUCCAUUCUUACACCUUUCUCACCCGUGGUUCUGAUGAAGUCCCAAAACCUAAGUCAGGUUCGGUGGGGUGAGGAGGUUCGGAGCCGACGACUAAAGAAAGAAUUCUUAAGACGUCGUUGGUGCAAAAGCUUUAUGGCUCCGUUGUUGGAGAAUGCGGCUGUUUUGAUUUCUGUCUUCGGAAACCUUUGAGAUUUUCUUGGCCCAGGACAUGGGUUGUGUGACUCUUCAUGCUUGACUUUUUGAUGUUGGCUCUUAUAUCUUCGCCCACCCCCAAUUACCAUCUUCUCCGUAUGAUGGAAUUCUGGUGUCCCAUGAAGAGCACCUCAUCAAUGUGAUUUCUAACCAAACGUGAGAGUUUUGUCUCCUGUUCCAUGCUUAUGUCUCACAUUUUUAACCAACGUAUUGAUUAUACUCUUUGAUCAACACUGAGAAUCAGUCAGCAUUCAUUGCUUCUUGGCCCUAUAAGCAACAUAAGGACCUUAUCAUG